GUCUGUCUGUCUCUGAAAUCUUACAUAUAAAAUUCUUGUCACAAUGUUAGUUAACAUACUCGUCCGAAACGGCUGGACCGAUUUUUAUGAAAUUUUGUGUGCAUAUCGGGUAGGUCUGAGAAUCGGUCAACAUCUAUUUUUCAUACCCUAAGUUGUAAAGGGGAAGGGAUUAAGGGAGUUAAUAACAUAUAUGGCAAAACAACGUUUGUGGAAUCAGCUAGUAUAUAUAUGCGCUUCAGCCAGAACCUAGACCACGGCAAACACCUGUAUGACACAAAUGUUUGUCAUGUGCGGGGAUUGCAUCCGCAACCGCCAGCGCAACA
This 323-nucleotide unclassified non-coding RNA is filed under the name Melitaea cinxia (Glanville fritillary). RNAcentral's name for it is "misc RNA ENSMCXG00005003071.1". Lineage: Eukaryota; Metazoa; Arthropoda; Insecta; Lepidoptera; Nymphalidae. The record is from RNAcentral.